AUAAUCUUAGUUUAUUAAAACAAUGGCUUGUGGUGCCAUAAAUCUAAAAAUUUUC
Molecule: transfer RNA, 55 nt
Filed under: Argiope bruennichi
Lineage: Eukaryota; Metazoa; Arthropoda; Arachnida; Araneae; Araneidae
Also listed under: 1 other name
Description: tRNA-His
Source: RNAcentral